CGUUGGAAAUUUGAGAGGAGCUGUCCUUAGUACGAGAGGACCGGGAUGGACGCACCGCUGGUGUACCAGUUGUUCCGCCAGGAGCAUCGCUGGGUAGCUACGUGCGGAAGGGAUAAACGCUGAAAGCAUCUAAGCGUGAAGCCCCCCUCAAGAUGAGAUUUCCCACUUAAUUGGUAAGACCCCUUGAAGACGACGAGGUUGAUAGGCUGGAGGUGGACGCGCAGCAAUGUGUGGAGCUGACCAGUACUAAUCGGUCGA
RNAcentral lists this non-coding RNA (258 nucleotides) under Saccharibacillus sacchari DSM 19268. RNAcentral's name for it is "Bacterial large subunit ribosomal RNA". It matches the Rfam family "Bacterial large subunit ribosomal RNA", at positions 2652 to 2912 of the family's 2925-position model. The record is from Rfam by way of RNAcentral. Lineage: Bacteria; Bacillati; Bacillota; Bacilli; Caryophanales; Paenibacillaceae.